This 74-nucleotide transfer RNA is filed under the name Oryzias latipes (Japanese medaka). Its description in RNAcentral is "tRNA-Ile (TAT) (tRNA-Ile-TAT-2-1)". It matches the Rfam family "tRNA". Rfam says of the family: Transfer RNA (tRNA) molecules are approximately 80 nucleotides in length. Their secondary structure includes four short double-helical elements and three loops (D, anti-codon, and T loops). The record is from RNAcentral. Lineage: Eukaryota; Metazoa; Chordata; Actinopteri; Beloniformes; Adrianichthyidae.
GCUCCAGUGGCGCAAUCGGUCAGCGCGUGGUACUUAUAAUGCCGAGGUUGUGAGUUCAAGCCUCACCUGGAGCA